CGCAGCAAACGCAUUAAGUGCCCCGCCCGGGGAGUACGGCCGCAAGGCUAAAACUCAAAGAAAUUGACGGGGGCCCGCACAAGCGGCGGAGCAUGCGGAUUAAUUCGAUGCAACGCGAAGAACCUUACCAAGGCUUGACAUGCACCGGUAACACUCAGAGAUGGGUGCCCCGCAAGGUCGGUGCACAGGUGGUGCAUGGUUGUCGUCAGCUCGUGUCGUGAGAUGUUGGGUUAAGUCCCGCAACGAGCGCAACCCUCGUCCCAUGUUGCCAGCGGGUUAUGCCGGGGACUCAUGGGAGACUGCCGGGGUCAACUCGGAGGAAGGUGGGGAUGACGUCAAAUCAUCAUGCCCCUUAUGUCUUGGGCUUCACGCAUGCUACAAUGGCCGGUACAAAGGGCUGCGAUACCGCGAGGUGGAGCGAAUCCCAAAAAGCCGGUCUCAGUUCGGAUUGGGGUCUGCAACUCGACCCCAUGAAGUCGGAGUCGCUAGUAAUCGCAGAUCAGCAACGCUGCGGUGAAUACGUUCCCGGGCCUUGUACACACCGCCCGUCAAGUCAUGAAAGUCGGUAACACCCGAAGCCGGUGGCCCAACC
RNAcentral lists this ribosomal RNA (592 nucleotides) under Cellulomonas sp. m10-51. RNAcentral's name for it is "bacterial SSU rRNA". It matches the Rfam family "Bacterial small subunit ribosomal RNA", at positions 847 to 1440 of the family's 1533-position model. The record is from RNAcentral. Lineage: Bacteria; Bacillati; Actinomycetota; Actinomycetes; Micrococcales; Cellulomonadaceae.